CAUUACCGAGUUUCUAAAGGGGUUUCGGCUCCUGAACUCCCAACCCUUGUGUUGCUGUCCGGAUCUUCCGGCUGUAAUUUUACCACACUGUAUGUUCAAUUGCUUCGGCAGUAUUUUGCUGCCGGCAGUUAACAAACAAACUCUUUGAAUCCUCCCAAAAGUCCGAGUCAUAUUGAAUAAUCAAAACUUUCAACAACGGAUCUCUUGGUUCUGGCAUCGAUGAAGAACGCAGCGAAAUGCGAUAAGUAAUGUGAAUUGCAGAAUUUAGUGAAUCAUCGAAUCUUUGAACGCAUAUUGCGCCUCUAGGUAUUCCUAGGGGCACACCUGUUCGAGCGCCGUUUAAUUACUAAGGCUCUGCCUUGCAAUGACGAUGCCCCUGCAAUACGGGGGCUCGCCAAAACGCGCUGGCGCAGUCCCGUGGUGAGCGACGUAGCGACAUACGCAGCGAACCGACGGUGAAGGCCGCCCGUCAAACUCCAAAGUUUGGCCUCGAAUCAGGUGGGGAUACCC
RNAcentral lists this ribosomal RNA (510 nucleotides) under uncultured Ascomycota. Its description in RNAcentral is "eukaryotic LSU rRNA". The stretch from base 185 to 338 matches the Rfam family "5.8S ribosomal RNA". The record is from RNAcentral. Lineage: Eukaryota; Fungi; Ascomycota.